AACGAACGCUGGCGGCAUGCCUAACACAUGCAAGUCGAACGAGACCUUCGGGUCUAGUGGCGCACGGGUGCGUAACGCGUGGGAACCUGCCCUUAGGUUCGGAAUAACUCCCCGAAAGGGGUGCUAAUACCGGAUAAUGUCUUCGGACCAAAGAUUUAUCGCCUUUGGAUGGGCCCGCGUUGGAUUAGCUAGUUGGUAGGGUAAAAGCCUACCAAGGCGACGAUCCAUAGCUGGUCUGAGAGGAUGAUCAGCCACACUGGGACUGAGACACGGCCCAGACUCCUACGGGAGGCAGCAGUGGGGAAUAUUGGACAAUCGGCGAAAGCCUGAUCCAGCAAUGCCGCGUGAGUGAUGAAGGCCUUAGGGUUGUAAAGCUCUUUUACCCGGGAUGAUAAUGACAGAACCGGGAGAAUAAGCUCCGGCUAACUCCGUG
RNAcentral lists this ribosomal RNA (433 nucleotides) under uncultured bacterium. RNAcentral's name for it is "partial 16S ribosomal RNA". It matches the Rfam family "Bacterial small subunit ribosomal RNA", at positions 29 to 507 of the family's 1533-position model. The record is from RNAcentral.